AUGCGCACAGCCACCGCCAUUCUCCAAUGUUCAGCCUUACCUUUACCUCAAUUGUUUAUUCGCGUGCGCCAUCAUUCAUCAACCAAAUUGUUCGUUGCAGGGCUUUCCUAUAACACCAAUGAAACGGUCCUAAGAGACACAUUUAAACAACAUGGGGAAAUCAUUGAAGUUAAAGUAAUAUGUGACCACAAAACUGGAGAAUCAAAAGAGUACGGAUUUGUUAGGUUCAAUUCUGAAACUGCAGCUGCCAUAGCUCGCAAAGAAUUGCACGGAAAGUUUCACAGAUAG
This 288-nucleotide long non-coding RNA is filed under the name Vicia faba (fava bean). The record is from RNAcentral. Lineage: Eukaryota; Viridiplantae; Streptophyta; Magnoliopsida; Fabales; Fabaceae.